Molecule: ribosomal RNA, 253 nt
Filed under: uncultured bacterium
Lineage: Bacteria
Description: partial 16S ribosomal RNA
Rfam family: Bacterial small subunit ribosomal RNA
Source: RNAcentral
UACGGAGGGAGCUAGCGUUAUUCGGAAUUACUGGGCGUAAAGCGCACGUAGGCGGCUUUGUAAGUAAGAGGUGAAAGCCCAGAGCUCAACUCUGGAAUUGCCUUUUAGACUGCAUCGCUUGAAUCAUGGAGAGGUCAGUGGAAUUCCGAGUGUAGAGGUGAAAUUCGUAGAUAUUCGGAAGAACACCAGUGGCGAAGGCGGCUCACUGGCCCGGUACUGACGCUGAUGUGCGAAAGCGUGGGGAGUAAACAGG